GCACAAUUCUCAUGAAGGUAUGUGUACUUUGCCCACAGGUUGAAAUUGAUCAACUCAAAGUCAGUUCUCACUAUGGGGUAAAACAAAGCAAACCUCUUCAGCAACAAGAAGAAUUUCAAACAGUGAUCGUUCUGAAUCCGUACCAGUUUUGGAGUUGCAUCCCCCCUUCGAAACACAAGCGGGCCUCUAAACUUUGCUGACGCCAACUAUAUCUACAAGCUUCUAUAAUCUAUUACAGUGACUUCGUCCUCGGGUGCAUCUAGGUCUUGAUAACUCCGUAUUCGACGAGGAUCCUGUCGAAAACCUGAAGAUAGGGCAAGGAUUGGAGCAGAUCCACCUAAUUGAGGUCCUGGCCUUCCAUUUCUUCCACCACCCUCAAAAGGAGGUGGACCUCCUUGUUCCCG
This 404-nucleotide unclassified non-coding RNA is filed under the name Hevea brasiliensis (rubber tree). Lineage: Eukaryota; Viridiplantae; Streptophyta; Magnoliopsida; Malpighiales; Euphorbiaceae. The record is from RNAcentral.